RNAcentral lists this long non-coding RNA (310 nucleotides) under Olea europaea subsp. europaea. The record is from RNAcentral. Lineage: Eukaryota; Viridiplantae; Streptophyta; Magnoliopsida; Lamiales; Oleaceae.
GUUGUCCUUAAUCCAUCAUCGCGUAAGCCAACUAACUUCCAUCAAUUCAAAUGAUCAUGGAUCUGAAAAGUUUAGCAUAACAUACUUUGAGUAUAAGGAAAUACUCAGUAAGAUACCAUGCUUGAACAUUUAUCAUGAUAAUACUACACCAAAGAAAGCAAUCAAACCCAUACUUCCAUAUUCCGACAUGCCGGUGCCCUUCGGACUUGUCCUAAGGCAUAGAUAUAUCUAACAUUUGUGGAUUUCUCCACCAUAAUCAUAUCAUUUGUGGAUUUCUCCACCAUUAACAUACUUUGAUUUUUCAUGCAUA